GAUGAACGCUGGCGGCGUGCCUAAUACAUGCAAGUCGAGCGAACAGACGAGGAGCUUGCUCCUCUGACGUUAGCGGCGGACGGGUGAGUAACACGUGUAUAACCUACCUAUAAUACUGGGAAAACUUCGGGAAACCGGCGCUAAUACCGGAUGAUAUAUUGAACCGCAUUGGGCGAUAGUGUAAGACGGCUUUGCGGGCACGUAUAGAUGGAUCCGCGCUGCAUUAGCUAGUUGUGAAGGUAACGGGUUACCAAGGCGACGAUGCGUAACCGACCUGAGAGAGUGAUCGGCCACACUGGAACUGAGACGCGGUCCAGACUCCUACGGGAGGCAGCAGUAGGGAAUCUUCCGCAAUGGGCGAAAGCCUGACGGAGCAACGCCGCGUGAGUGAUGACGGUCUUCGGUUCGUAAAACUCUGUUAUUAGGGAAGAACAAAUGUGUAAGUAACUAUGCACGUCUUGACGGUACCUAAUCAGAAAGCCACGGCUAACUACGUG
Molecule: ribosomal RNA, 497 nt
Filed under: uncultured bacterium
Lineage: Bacteria
Description: partial 16S ribosomal RNA
Rfam family: Bacterial small subunit ribosomal RNA
Source: RNAcentral